This 253-nucleotide ribosomal RNA is filed under the name uncultured bacterium. RNAcentral's name for it is "partial 16S ribosomal RNA". It matches the Rfam family "Bacterial small subunit ribosomal RNA", at positions 524 to 776 of the family's 1533-position model. The record is from RNAcentral.
GACGUAGGGCGCGAGCGUUGUCCGGAUUAUUGGGCGUAAAGAGCUCGUAGGCGGCUUGUCGCGUCGGCUGUGAAAACCCCGCGGCUCAACUGUGGGCGGGCAGCUGAUACGGGCAGGCUGGAGUUCGGUAGGGGAGACUGGAAUUCCUGGUGUAGCGGUGGAAUGCGCAGAUAUCAGGAGGAACACCAAUGGCGAAGGCAGAUCUCUGGGCCGUAACUGACGCUGAGGAGCGAAAGCAUGGGGAGCGAACAGG